This 465-nucleotide ribosomal RNA is filed under the name Vreelandella stevensii. RNAcentral's name for it is "partial 16S ribosomal RNA". It matches the Rfam family "Bacterial small subunit ribosomal RNA", at positions 338 to 795 of the family's 1533-position model. The record is from RNAcentral. Lineage: Bacteria; Pseudomonadati; Pseudomonadota; Gammaproteobacteria; Oceanospirillales; Halomonadaceae.
CCUACGGGUGGCUGCAGUGGGGAAUAUUGGACAAUGGGCGAAAGCCUGAUCCAGCCAUGCCGCGUGUGUGAAGAAGGCCUUCGGGUUGUAAAGCACUUUCAGUGGGGAAGAAAGCCUUGGGGCUAAUACCCUCGAGGAAGGACAUCACCCACAGAAGAAGCACCGGCUAACUCCGUGCCAGCAGCCGCGGUAAUACGGAGGGUGCGAGCGUUAAUCGGAAUUACUGGGCGUAAAGCGCGCGUAGGCGGUCUGAUAAGCCGGUUGUGAAAGCCCCGGGCUCAACCUGGGAACGGCAUCCGGAACUGUCAGGCUAGAGUGCAGGAGAGGAAGGUAGAAUUCCCGGUGUAGCGGUGAAAUGCGUAGAGAUCGGGAGGAAUACCAGUGGCGAAGGCGGCCUUCUGGACUGACACUGACGCUGAGGUGCGAAAACGUGGGUAGCAAACAGGAUUAGAUACCCCUGUAGUC